RNAcentral lists this ribosomal RNA (423 nucleotides) under Triticum aestivum (bread wheat). Its description in RNAcentral is "partial small subunit ribosomal RNA". The record is from RNAcentral. Lineage: Eukaryota; Viridiplantae; Streptophyta; Magnoliopsida; Poales; Poaceae.
AUGAGGGAGAGCAAGCAUGGAAGAUGCCGAGAACCCAAGCUGCUCCCUCCAGCGUGCCCCCUCCAUGGCUCGUCGUCGCUCUGUGACCACAUCCAGCUCCAGCUGUUGCAGAAGGACGUCAACCUCCUUAAUCCGAUGGCUGAGCUAGAGAAGCACUCACAAGAAGAAGCAUCUCGUGCAGUCCAUCAACUCAUCAUUGUGGAGGAUUUCAAGGAGUUUCUUGAUGAUGUCAUGUCUGGUGAUGGGCCAUGGGGAGAGGAGGAGGUCUUGAGCCAUUGGGUUAGUGAAGUGAGGUUUUUUAUCUCCCGUUGCAACGCACGGGUAUUUGUGCUAGUAUUAUAUAUAUAUAAUAUUUUUCUCUCCCUAAUAAUAAUAAAGCACGGAUUGGGUCUCCGGGUUCACCGUCGCGGCGUUUUUACAUAA